UGCCUUUUAAAUGAAGGCCCGUAUGAAUGGCAUAACGAGGGCUUAACUGUCUCCUCCUCCUAGUCAAUGAAAUUGAUCUCUCCGUGCAGAAGCGGGGAUAAAAACAUAAGACGAGAAGACCCUGUGGAGCUUUAGACCACAAACAGACCAUGUCAAAGAUAACGAUAAGUAACUCAAACAAAUUGGCUGCUGUUUUCAUGUCUUUGGUUGGGGCGACCGCGGGAUAAUAAAAAACUCCCAUGAGGAUAGAAAACACUAUUCUUACAACCAAGAGCUUCCUCUCUAAGUAACAGAACAUCUGACCUUUAUGAUCCGGCCUAGCCGAUCAACGGACCAAGUUACCCCAGGGAUAACAGCGCAAUCCUCUUUUAGAGUCCAUAUCGACAAGAGGGUUUACGACCUCGAUGUUGGAUCAGGACAUCCUAAUGGUGCAGCCGCUAUUAAGGGUUUGUUUGUUCAACAAUUAAAGU
RNAcentral lists this ribosomal RNA (470 nucleotides) under Oryzias latipes (Japanese medaka). RNAcentral describes it as "partial 16S ribosomal RNA". It matches the Rfam family "Bacterial large subunit ribosomal RNA", at positions 1970 to 2594 of the family's 2925-position model. The record is from RNAcentral. Lineage: Eukaryota; Metazoa; Chordata; Actinopteri; Beloniformes; Adrianichthyidae.